GACGAACGCUGGCGGCGUGCCUAAUACAUGCAAGUCGAACGCAGUGGGGACGGGUGAGUAACACGUGGGUAACCUCCCAUCAGAGGGGAUAACACUUGGAAACAGGUGCUAAACCGAUACUGAUGGAUGGACCCGCGGUGGAUGAGCUAGUGGGUGAGGUAACGGCUUACCAGGGCCACGAUGCAUAGCCGGCCUGAGAGGGUGAUCGGCCACACGGGGAAUGAGACACGGCCCAGACUCCUACGGGAGGCAGCAGUAGGGAAUCUUCGGCAAUGGACGAAAGUCUGACCGAGCAACGCCGCGUGAGUGAAGAAGGUUUUCGGGUCGUAAAGCUCUGUUGUUAGAGAAGCGGUAUCUAACCAGAAAGCCACGGCUAACUACGUGCCAGCAGCCGCGGUAAUAC
Molecule: ribosomal RNA, 403 nt
Filed under: uncultured bacterium
Lineage: Bacteria
Description: partial 16S ribosomal RNA
Rfam family: Bacterial small subunit ribosomal RNA
Source: RNAcentral